This 1080-nucleotide long non-coding RNA is filed under the name Olea europaea subsp. europaea. The record is from RNAcentral. Lineage: Eukaryota; Viridiplantae; Streptophyta; Magnoliopsida; Lamiales; Oleaceae.
CAGCAAUCUUCGCACGCCGUAAAAAAAUUAGGUAAUUUUUUUCUUUAAUUUUAUUCAGGUGUUAUUUUUCAAUUUUUAUAUAUAUUAGCAAUAUAUUUUUAAGUGAUGAUGCUUCAAAAAUUUAUACGUGAUAAUGCCUGCUCCAAUUGUUUCUGGUCUGUUCUGAGCUUUUGAUUCGUUGAAAUCAUAAACAGAACAUUAUAAAAAUUCUAUGUAGAUAAUCGCAUUUUUUUAAUUUAGGUUCAAUUGUUUUUAAAAAAAUGGUGGGGGUUAAAAUUUGUCUGAUUUUUUAGUAGAAGUUUUUAAUUUGAGAUUGGUUUUUUGUUUUCAUUUCCUUUUCAUUUUGAAUUUAUUUAAAUAACCGAAAAUUCUUAUCUGUACAUGGGGAAAAAAAUAAAUAAAUAAAUGAUUGCUAAUGCUACAUUUGAAGUUUUCCUUUGAAGAUUUACUGUGCUUAAGUACUAGGUAUGAGCUCCUUGCAUUAGUGGAUUUUGUUUGCCUGUUAUUAUGUGCGUAUAAGCAUAUCAUCCCUCAAUUAAAAUGAUGACAUUUUCUUGAUUGGUGCCAAAUUUUGUGAACGAGACUUAGUUGUCUUUUGCUAAUUGUUUAACAGAUCCACCAAGUGCUGCACUAAUGACCCUAAUUUUAUUAUGUGAGUGCUUUACACUCUUAAUAUGACAGAAAAGACAGCAGAAUAAUAUUAAUUUGGUCACUUGUGAGCUGAUGUGAAGUGGGAGACACUUGGUAGGUCCACCCUUGCUGUCCUUAAACCCUACAAUAAAUCUCGAGUCAAAGAACUUUUCCAAGCUAGAAAAUCUUAUUGGCUUGGUCAUUAGGGUAAAUUAGUAUGUCUUAUAGGUGUCUAUCUAGUCUGAGAACCAUCAAAGAUAUUAGAACCACUAGCAUAUCCAUUCGAUUUUGAUUCAUGAAUAUCAACAUUCUGUUUUCAGAUUUGAUACUGACUAUAAAUUUCAUCGUACUUCUUAAUCCUUCUAUUGAUAAUUCACUUAAUUAGUUGCAGCAAGAUCCUCCUGUCAUAUUAUAUAUAUACUGACUAGAACCCUUUUUCAUAUAUAUGAC